This 290-nucleotide ribosomal RNA is filed under the name uncultured bacterium. RNAcentral describes it as "partial 16S ribosomal RNA". The record is from RNAcentral.
CUACAGGGGUAUCUAAUCCCGUUUGCUCCCCACGCUUUCGUGCCUUAGUGUCAGGGACGAGCCAGUAACCUGCCUACGCCAUCGGUAUUCCUCCUUAUAUCUACGGAUUUCACUCCUACACAAGGAAUUCUAGUUACCUCUCUCGCCCUCUAGCUUAGCAGUUUAGAUAAUGGAUAUGAGGUUGAGCCCCACGCUUUCACUAUCUACUUACUAUGCCACCUACGCAACUCUUUACGCCCAGUAAUUCCGGAUAACGCUUGGAUCCUCCGUAUUACCGCGGCUGCUGGCAC